AGAGCCCGCCCAGCCCCAUCUCCGCCACCCUUGGCCCGGUCCACUCGUAGAGGCCCAGCCAUUUUGCGGUUGGUUAGACCUCCAACCUGCCUCGCAAGCUCAUGUUUCAACUAUUCUUUUAUCCUUCUUUAGUUAUUUGUUUCUUCUUUAGUUUGGGUUUGCAUUUCGUUUCUUUUUUCUUCCUUUGCGAGCGAGAGAGUGGAUGAUGCAUGUAAACUGGAGAAGCCGAUUGUUCUUUUCUUUUCUUUUUUUCACAAUGUGAAGAAUACAUUCUUAAUUUUUGAUUGCUGGAAUUUUUUUGUGAUAGUUCUCUCAACAGCAGAUGUGCUGGAUAAAAUUG
This 340-nucleotide long non-coding RNA is filed under the name Phoenix dactylifera (date palm). Its description in RNAcentral is "long non-coding RNA (PDAC_LNC017731)". The record is from RNAcentral. Lineage: Eukaryota; Viridiplantae; Streptophyta; Magnoliopsida; Arecales; Arecaceae.